GCGCCCGUAGCUCAGGGGAUAGAGCGUCUGCCUUCUAAGCAGAGGGUCGUAUGUUCGAUUCAUACCGGGCGCGCCA
This 76-nucleotide transfer RNA is filed under the name Candidatus Margulisiibacteriota bacterium. Its description in RNAcentral is "tRNA-Arg". It matches the Rfam family "tRNA". From Rfam's summary of the family: Transfer RNA (tRNA) molecules are approximately 80 nucleotides in length. Their secondary structure includes four short double-helical elements and three loops (D, anti-codon, and T loops). Further hydrogen bonds mediate the characteristic L-shaped molecular structure. tRNAs have two regions of fundamental functional importance: the anti-codon, which is responsible for specific mRNA codon recognition, and the 3' end, to which the tRNAs corresponding amino acid is attached (by aminoacyl-tRNA synthetases). tRNAs cope with the degeneracy of the genetic code in two manners: having more than one tRNA (with a specific anti-codon) for a particular amino acid; and 'wobble' base-pairing, i.e. permitting non-standard base-pairing at the 3rd anti-codon position. The record is from RNAcentral. RNAcentral also lists the same sequence under 1 other name. Lineage: Bacteria; Bacillati; Candidatus Margulisiibacteriota.